RNAcentral lists this microRNA precursor (74 nucleotides) under Mesocricetus auratus (golden hamster). RNAcentral's name for it is "miRNA (ENSMAUG00000004440.1)". The record is from RNAcentral. Lineage: Eukaryota; Metazoa; Chordata; Mammalia; Rodentia; Cricetidae.
GUGCUGUUAAGUCAUUAUGUGGGGCUGGAGAGAUGGCUCAGCCGUUAAAGGCUAGGCUCACAACCAAAAAUAUA